RNAcentral lists this long non-coding RNA (505 nucleotides) under Bemisia tabaci. RNAcentral describes it as "lncRNA ENSSSA3NGG011955". The record is from RNAcentral. Lineage: Eukaryota; Metazoa; Arthropoda; Insecta; Hemiptera; Aleyrodidae.
CUGAUGGGAUCCUUACAAUUAGGUACCAUUAAGUUUUCUCCAUGUGAAUUUUUUUCUUCGAUUUAUGAAAAAAAUGUCUCUUUAACAGGUGCAGGAUGGCAGCUGGCAGAGUAUCAUCAGGACUCACUAUCAAGCAGUCAGCAAGACUCGCAAGACGCGAUGUACCCGGCGACUCGGUACCUGAUCACCUCGACGGACAUGGACGGGGCGGAAAGCAUGGACUACUUCACGAUGGGGUGCGGACGCCGCGGACCCUCCUGGCAGCCCUCUCGACGCCGCCGCUGCUGGAGAAGUCCGAGGCCGAGAGCCUCCAGAAGAACAUCGAGUGCAACAAGUGCGGGCGGAUGUACAAGCUCAAAAGCUCCCUGCUCAACCACCAAAGGUGGGAGUGCGGCAAGGACCCCCAGUUCAAGUGCACGCUCUGCGACUACAAGGCCAAACAGAAGGCCCACCUCCUCACCACCAUCAAAUACCGCCACAAGCACGAUUGACAUAACCUCCAAAU